Molecule: ribosomal RNA, 620 nt
Filed under: Rossellomorea marisflavi
Lineage: Bacteria; Bacillati; Bacillota; Bacilli; Caryophanales; Bacillaceae
Also listed under: 1 other name
Description: bacterial SSU rRNA
Rfam family: Bacterial small subunit ribosomal RNA
Source: RNAcentral
CUCCCUGAGAUCAGCGGCGGACGGGUGAGUAACACGUGGGUAACCUGCCUGUAAGACUGGGAUAACUCCGGGAAACCGGGGCUAAUACCGGAUAACACCUACCCCCGCAUGGGGGAAGGUUGAAAGGUGGCUUCGGCUAUCACUUACAGAUGGACCCGCGGCGCAUUAGCUAGUUGGUGAGGUAAUGGCUCACCAAGGCGACGAUGCGUAGCCGACCUGAGAGGGUGAUCGGCCACACUGGGACUGAGACACGGCCCAGACUCCUACGGGAGGCAGCAGUAGGGAAUCUUCCGCAAUGGACGAAAGUCUGACGGAGCAACGCCGCGUGAGUGAAGAAGGUUUUCGGAUCGUAAAACUCUGUUGUUAGGGAAGAACAAGUGCCGUUCGAAUAGGGCGGCGCCUUGACGGUACCUAACCAGAAAGCCACGGCUAACUACGUGCCAGCAGCCGCGGUAAUACGUAGGUGGCAAGCGUUGUCCGGAAUUAUUGGGCGUAAAGCGCGCGCAGGUGGUUUCUUAAGUCUGAUGUGAAAGCCCACGGCUCAACCGUGGAGGGUCAUUGGAAACUGGGGAACUUGAGUGCAGAAGAGGAAAGUGGAAUUCCAAGUGUAGCGGUGAAAU